AUGUGGGAUUGCAGAGGGACACUGGAUGGCGGGAGUCAGACGCGAACCCACAGCACAGGGACCCGCCCCCUCCACCUCGAGCAGGACCAGAGCGUCAUUGGGGCUCAGGGUCUGGGGCCCAGGGGUCCUGUCUGGAGGCCGGGGUGGGGGCUGGCCUCGGGUUCCAGGACCGCAAGGGGGUGGGGGAGGCCCGGCCAGGCUGGGAGGGGGCGGAACCUUGCUGCGCUCCCCUCCCCCUCUUUCUUAAAGGGCCCGACGCAGGACCGGUUGGGACCGGGUUGCCGCGCCCUCCCGGGCCGGGGCAGGACAGGCGGUAGAGCGCUCUGGGGCCGUGCCUCUCCACAGCCGCGGCUCCGACACCUGAAGGGACAGGAGCGGGCGCGGGCAGCUCAGGCGGGCAGCGGCGGAGCGGGACGGGCAGUCUGGCGGCGGCCUCCGCAUGGCCCCACCGUGAGAGGCUGGACCCGGCAGCUGGGACCAGUAGCGGUGAGUGGGGCUGCGGGGCCACCUUGUCCCUGGGGCCCCGCGUGCUCCGGGACCCCGCCCCUCCCAUCUUCAAACAACCAGUCUGGGAGGGGGCCGGGGUUAGGGGAGCGGUGGUCCUGUGGGGGGGGGGGAACGCCUGCCGAGGUUGGGGGGGGACACGGCGCCGCCCUCCGCCCUCGGUGUCCGCUGGGGUCUUUAACAAAGCUGCAUUUCGAGAUCAAUUCCGCGUUGGCUGGAGCAUCCGAAGGAUGCGGUUGUCAUGGAGAUGGGGCCGAGCGAGGAAGCCCGCGAUGGCCGGGUCUGGGCCAGGGAGUGAGGGCGCCGCUGAGAGCCCAGCCCAGCCUGCAGGGAGGGUCGGGACCGGCCAGCCCAGUGUCUCCUGGGCUCUGCCUUCUGGCCCCUGCUGCCUUUGUACCAUCUGAGGGUAAGUGUGUGUAUGGAUGGGGUGCCAGUGGCGCCUUGGUGGCCAGGGAUCAGCCAGGGAUCAGGGUGUUGGGGCCUGCCAGCGGCCACCGUCGCUACGGAGCAGCUUUGAGGAUUUAUUUCUGUUUCCAGUUUCCCAACUUUGACAGCCUGGCUUGGUGGCCAGGCCUCCCCGGCUCUGCCUGGAGCAGGGGCUGGCACGGGGGCGUGGCAGGCAGCGGGCAAGGCUGA
Molecule: long non-coding RNA, 1140 nt
Filed under: Oryctolagus cuniculus (rabbit)
Lineage: Eukaryota; Metazoa; Chordata; Mammalia; Lagomorpha; Leporidae
Description: lncRNA (ENSOCUG00000038530.1)
Source: RNAcentral